AACCAUAGAAACCUGCGGAGUACCUGCGGAGGGAUCAUUACCGAGUUUACAACUCCCAAACCCCUGUGAACAUACCUAUACGUUGCCUCGGCGGAUCAGCCCGCGCCCCGUAAAACGGGACGGCCCGCCCGAGGACCCCUAAACUCUGUUUUUAGUGGAACUUCUGAGUAAAACAAACAAAUAAAUCAAAACUUUUAACAAUGGAUCU
Molecule: unclassified non-coding RNA, 208 nt
Filed under: soil metagenome
Description: partial contains 5.8S ribosomal RNA, internal transcribed spacer 2, and large subunit ribosomal RNA
Source: RNAcentral